RNAcentral lists this ribosomal RNA (454 nucleotides) under uncultured organism. RNAcentral's name for it is "bacterial SSU rRNA". It matches the Rfam family "Bacterial small subunit ribosomal RNA", at positions 346 to 794 of the family's 1533-position model. The record is from RNAcentral.
GUGCAGCAGUCGAGAAUUUUUCUCAAUGGGGCAACCCUGAAGGAGCGACGCCGCGUGGAGGAUGAAGGCUUUCGGGUUGUAAACUCCUGUCAUUUGAGAACAAGUGGCCGAAAUUAACUACUUCGGCCUUGAUAGUAUCAGAAGAGGAAGGGACGGCUAACUCUGUGCCAGCAGCCGCGGUAAUACAGAGGUCCCAAGCGUUGUUCGGAUUCAUUGGGCGUAAAGGGUGCGUAGGUGGCGUGGUAAGUCGGGUGUGAAAUUUCGGAGCUUAACUCCGAAACUGCAUUCGAUACUGCCGUGCUUGAGGACUGGAGAGGAGACUGGAAUUUACGGUGUAGCAGUGAAAUGCGUAGAGAUCGUAAGGAAGACCAGUGGCGAAGGCGGGUCUCUGGACAGUUCCUGACACUGAGGCACGAAGGCCAGGGGAGCAAACGGGAUUAGAUACCCGCGUAGU